AACGAACGCUGGCGGCAUGCCUAACACAUGCAAGUCGAACGACCCCUCCGGGGAUCGGCGGGCGGGUGUGUGUCGCGCGGGGAAAUGCCCCCCUCUGUGGGGUAGCCUUGGCAGACUGAGAGGAUAAUACCAUACGAUCUAUUCGGGAAAGAGUUAUCGGGCAAGGAUUUGCCCGCGUGGGAUUAUGGAGUUGGUAGGGUAAUAGCCUACCAAGGCGACGAUCCAUAGCUGGUGUGAGAGGAUGAUCAGCCACACUGGGACUGAGACACGGCCCAGACUCCUACGGGAGGCAGCAGUGGGGAAUAUUAGACAAUGGGGGCAAGCCUGAUCCAGCCAUGCCGCGUGAGUGAUGAAGGCCUUAGGGUUGUAAAGCUCUUUCAGCUGGGAAGAUAAUGACGGUACCGGGAGAAGAAGCCCCGGCUAACUCCGUG
RNAcentral lists this ribosomal RNA (431 nucleotides) under uncultured bacterium. Its description in RNAcentral is "partial 16S ribosomal RNA". It matches the Rfam family "Bacterial small subunit ribosomal RNA", at positions 29 to 507 of the family's 1533-position model. The record is from RNAcentral.